Molecule: ribosomal RNA, 528 nt
Filed under: Campsosternus auratus
Lineage: Eukaryota; Metazoa; Arthropoda; Insecta; Coleoptera; Elateridae
Description: partial 16S ribosomal RNA
Rfam family: Archaeal large subunit ribosomal RNA
Source: RNAcentral
AAAAACAUGUCUUUUUGAUUAUAAUUUAAGGUCUAAUCUGCUCAAUGAGGAUUUAAAUUGCCGCGGUAUUUUGACCGUGCAAAGGUAGCAUAAUAAUUAGUUUUUUUAUUGAAAGCUGGAAUGAAUGAUUGGACGAGGGAGCAGCUGUCUCUGGAAAAUUUUAUUUUUAAUUUAACUUUUGAGUAAAAAGGCUCAAAUUUAUUUCAAAGACGAGAAGACCCUAUAGAGUUUAAUAUUUUUAUUUAAUAAGAUGUUCUUGGGCUUAAAAUUUUCUUAUUAGAUUAAUUAUUUAGUUGGGGUGACUUAAAGAUUAAAUUAACUCUUUAAAGUUUUAAUCAUUGAUAUGUGAAUUGUAAAUCUAGUUUUUCUAAAUAUAAGAUAAAUUACCUUAGGGAUAACAGCGUAAUUUUUUUUUAGAGUUCUUAUUGUAAAAAAAGUUUGCGACCUCGAUGUUGGAUUAAAAUUAAUUUUUGGUGCAGAAGCUAAAAAUAUAGGUCUGUUCGACCUUUAAAUUUUUACAUGAUCUGA